UACGGGGGGGGCAAGCGUUGUUCGGAAUUACUGGGCGUAAAGGGCGCGUAGGCGGCCUGCUAAGUCGGACGUGAAAUCCCUCGGCUCAACCGGGGAACUGCGUCCGAUACUGGCGAGGCUUGAAUCCGGGAGAGGGAUGUGGAAUUCCUGGUGUAGCGGUGGAAUGCGCAGAUAUCAGGAGGAACACCGGUGGCGAAGGCGGGUCUCUGGGCAGUAACUGACGCUGAGGAGCGAAAGCGUGGGGAGCGAACAGG
RNAcentral lists this ribosomal RNA (254 nucleotides) under uncultured bacterium. RNAcentral describes it as "partial 16S ribosomal RNA". It matches the Rfam family "Bacterial small subunit ribosomal RNA", at positions 524 to 776 of the family's 1533-position model. The record is from RNAcentral.